Long non-coding RNA from Rosa chinensis, 725 nucleotides. RefSeq lists it as uncharacterized. The transcript is spliced from 4 exons. The record is from RefSeq and is a predicted model, not a curated record. Lineage: Eukaryota; Viridiplantae; Streptophyta; Magnoliopsida; Rosales; Rosaceae.
UUGCAAUAGCGUAUAUACUCUUCAUGGUCAUCGUGAUCGUGUUCGAGUUUAUAAUGUUGAGAAAAUUGUCAAAUUUGACACUUCCACUUUUUGAUAACCAAUCUAGUCCUUCCCUAACAUCACAUAAAGGGAUACAUGAGGAAUUGGACAAACAAUACGGUUGUUUAGAUGUUAUUGGCCCAUAGGGAAGCCCCAAGAUCGCCCAGAACAACAAAUGCGAAACUCCUUGUUCAGAGAAGGCAUCGCUUGAAGACCCAAUUCUUUGAUGAGCACCAAAAAUUCUCUUGACGAUUGACUCUCCAAGAUGAUGAUGGGUGCCACUUUUCCAGCUUCAGAUCCGCAGCCAACCAUAACCAGUCUAAUAGAGCAGGCCAUUGCUGAAGAAUAUAUUUGCCUUCUUAAUGUCUCCAUGCAUGAUAUUGUGACCAUGAAUGUGUUUUAGGCCUUUUGCGGUUUCCAUGAAAAUGUGUGCACAUUCUUCCAGCGAACAAAAGACCAAGUCAAAAUUAGUUUCUGUAGACCAAGUAAAAAUUUGUUUUGUCUGUAGACUAAAGUAGUAAGUUAUCUUGGGUGCAAAAAGGUUUUAGGAAUUAGUUGCUUGAAAUGAUAUCAUUCUCUCCCUCCCUUCAUCUUAGAGUGGUAGGGAGGAUAGUAUGUAGUUUUAUUUUGAAAUUUUUAUGGAGUACUCUUUUUGCCUCUCACUCGGAAUUACCGAGCGAUGUUUU